This 744-nucleotide ribosomal RNA is filed under the name Bacillus sp. JDXE1. RNAcentral describes it as "bacterial SSU rRNA". It matches the Rfam family "Bacterial small subunit ribosomal RNA", at positions 84 to 814 of the family's 1533-position model. The record is from RNAcentral. Lineage: Bacteria; Bacillati; Bacillota; Bacilli; Caryophanales; Bacillaceae.
CCCGGAUGUUAGCGGCGGACGGGUGAGUAACACGUGGGUAACCUGCCUGUAAGACUGGGAUAACUCCGGGAAACCGGAGCUAAUACCGGAUAGUUCCUUGAACCGCAUGGUUCAAGGAUGAAAGACGGUUUCGGCUGUCACUUACAGAUGGACCCGCGGCGCAUUAGCUAGUUGGUGAGGUAACGGCUCACCAAGGCGACGAUGCGUAGCCGACCUGAGAGGGUGAUCGGCCACACUGGGACUGAGACACGGCCCAGACUCCUACGGGAGGCAGCAGUAGGGAAUCUUCCGCAAUGGACGAAAGUCUGACGGAGCAACGCCGCGUGAGUGAUGAAGGUUUUCGGAUCGUAAAGCUCUGUUGUUAGGGAAGAACAAGUGCAAGAGUAACUGCUUGCACCUUGACGGUACCUAACCAGAAAGCCACGGCUAACUACGUGCCAGCAGCCGCGGUAAUACGUAGGUGGCAAGCGUUGUCCGGAAUUAUUGGGCGUAAAGGGCUCGCAGGCGGUUUCUUAAGUCUGAUGUGAAAGCCCCCGGCUCAACCGGGGAGGGUCAUUGGAAACUGGGAAACUUGAGUGCAGAAGAGGAGAGUGGAAUUCCACGUGUAGCGGUGAAAUGCGUAGAGAUGUGGAGGAACACCAGUGGCGAAGGCGACUCUCUGGUCUGUAACUGACGCUGAGGAGCGAAAGCGUGGGGAGCGAACAGGAUUAGAUACCCUGGUAGUCCACGCCGUAAACGAUGAGU